This 253-nucleotide ribosomal RNA is filed under the name uncultured bacterium. Its description in RNAcentral is "partial 16S ribosomal RNA". It matches the Rfam family "Bacterial small subunit ribosomal RNA", at positions 524 to 776 of the family's 1533-position model. The record is from RNAcentral.
UACGUAGGGUGCAAGCGUUACUCGGAAUUACUGGGCGUAAAGCGUGCGCAGGCGGUUAUGUAAGACAGAUGUGAAAUCCCCGGGCUCAACCUGGGAACUGCAUUUGUGACUGCAUAGCUAGAGUACGGUAGAGGGGGAUGGAAUUCCGCGUGUAGCAGUGAAAUGCGUAGAUAUGCGGAGGAACACCGAUGGCGAAGGCAAUCCCCUGGACCUGUACUGACGCUCAUGCACGAAAGCGUGGGGAGCAAACAGG